GACGAACGCUGGCGGCGUGCUUAACACAUGCAAGUCGAACGGAAAGGCCCUGCUUUUGUGGGGUGCUCGAGUGGCGAACGGGUGAGUAACACGUGAGUAACCUGCCCUUGACUUUGGGAUAACUUCAGGAAACUGGGGCUAAUACCGGAUAGGAGCUCCUGCUGCAUGGUGGGGGUUGGAAAGUUUCGGCGGUUGGGGAUGGACUCGCGGCUUAUCAGCUUGUUGGUGGGGUAGUGGUUUACCAAGGCUUUGACGGGUAGCCGGCCUGAGAGGGUGACCGGCCUCAUUGGGCCUGAGAUACGGCCCAGACUCCUACGGGCGGCAGCAGUGGAGAGUCUUGCACAAUGGGCGGAAGCCUGAUGCAGCAACGCCGCGUGCGGGAUGACGGCCUUCGGGUUGUAAACCGCUUUCGCCUGUGACGAAGCGUGAGUGACGGUAAUGGGUAAAGAAGCACCGGCUAACUACGUG
This 468-nucleotide ribosomal RNA is filed under the name uncultured bacterium. RNAcentral's name for it is "partial 16S ribosomal RNA". It matches the Rfam family "Bacterial small subunit ribosomal RNA", at positions 28 to 507 of the family's 1533-position model. The record is from RNAcentral.